UCACGCUGCAAAUUCAAAAUGAAACGCACAACGACCAAAUCAAAGGCAGCGUUGUGUUUGGUCAACUCGCUUUAUUUUCAUAUAAGAAUGCGUUGAAAUUUAUUUUUUAAUUCAUUGGUUCAUUCAUCGAUUCAUCGAAAAUUCAAAUUCUGAAGCGUAUUUAUGGUGUGAAUUUUUAAUAUUUUUUU
Bradysia coprophila is the source of this 188-nucleotide long non-coding RNA. NCBI's taxonomy places the organism in Eukaryota, Metazoa, Arthropoda, Insecta, Diptera, Sciaridae. The record is from RefSeq and is a predicted model, not a curated record.